This 599-nucleotide ribosomal RNA is filed under the name uncultured bacterium. RNAcentral's name for it is "bacterial SSU rRNA". It matches the Rfam family "Bacterial small subunit ribosomal RNA", at positions 8 to 653 of the family's 1533-position model. The record is from RNAcentral.
AGAGUUUGAUCCUGGCUCAGGAUGAACGCUGGCGGUCUGCUUAACACAUGCAAGUCGAACGGGCUCUUCGGAGCUAGUGGCGGACGGGUGAGUAACGCGUGAGAAUCUGCCUUCAGGAGGGGGAUAACGACUGGAAACGGUCGCUAAUACCCCAUAUGCCUCCGGGUGAAAAGUAAUUCGCCUGAAGAUGAGCUCGCGUCAGAUUAGCUAGUUGGUGGGGUAAGAGCCUACCAAGGCGACGAUCUGUAGCUGGUCUGAGAGGAUGAUCAGCCACACUGGGACUGAGACACGGCCCAGACUCCUACGGGAGGCAGCAGUGGGGAAUUUUCCGCAAUGGGCGCAAGCCUGACGGAGCAAGACCGCGUGGGGGAUGACGGCCUAAUGGUUGUAAACCCCUUUUCUCUGGGAAGAAGACUGACGGUACCAGAGGAAUCAGCCUCGGCUAACUCCGUGCCAGCAGCCGCGGUAAUACGGAGGAGGCAAGCGUUAUCCGGAAUUAUUGGGCGUAAAGCGUCCGUAGGUGGUUAUUCAAGUCUGCUGUCAAAGCGUGGGGCUCAACUCCAUAGAGGCAGUGGAAACUGAGUGACUAGAGUGCGGUA